RNAcentral lists this ribosomal RNA (558 nucleotides) under Thoropa miliaris (rock river frog). RNAcentral describes it as "partial 16S ribosomal RNA". It matches the Rfam family "Bacterial large subunit ribosomal RNA", at positions 1819 to 2597 of the family's 2925-position model. Lineage: Eukaryota; Metazoa; Chordata; Amphibia; Anura; Cycloramphidae. The record is from RNAcentral.
CGCCUCUUGAAAAAUAUAAGAGGUCCAGCCUGCCCAGUGACUCUGUUCAACGGCCGCGGUAUCCUAACCGUGCGAAGGUAGCGUAAUCACUUGUUCUUUAAAUGAGGACUAGUAUGAAAGGCAUCACGAGGGUUAUACUGUCUCCUUUUUCUAAUUAGUGAAACUAAUCUCCCCGUGAAGAAGCGGGGAUUAUUUUAUAAGACGAGAAGACCCUAUGGAGCUUUAAAUUAAAUAACAAUUGCCACUUUAUUUUUAUUAACAUUACAACGUUUAGCAAUAUGAUUAUUAAUUUUUGGUUGGGGUGACCGCGGAGCAUAACAUAACCUCCACAUUGAAAGGAUUUACACCUAAGCUAAAAGCAACAACUUUAAGCAUCAAUAAAUUGACAUUAAUUGACCCAAUAUAUUUGAUCAACGAACCAAGUUACCCUAGGGAUAACAGCGCAAUCUACUUUAAGAGCCCAUAUCGACAAGUAGGUUUACGACCUCGAUGUUGGAUCAGGGUAUCCUAGUGGUGCAGCCGCUACUAAUGGUUCGUUUGUUCAACGAUUAAAACCCU